UACGUAGGGUGCAAGCGUUGUCCGGAAUUAUUGGGCGUAAAGAGCUCGUAGGCGGUCUGUUGCGUCGGCUGUGAAAACCCGAGGCUCAACCUCGGGCCUGCAGCCGAUACGGGCAGACUAGAGUUCGGCAGGGGAGACUGGAAUUCCUGGUGUAGCGGUGAAAUGCGCAGAUAUCGGGAGGAACACCAAUGGCGAAGGCAGCUCGCUGGGACGGUACUGACGCUGAGACGCGAAAGCGUGGGGAGCAAACAGG
RNAcentral lists this ribosomal RNA (253 nucleotides) under uncultured bacterium. RNAcentral's name for it is "partial 16S ribosomal RNA". It matches the Rfam family "Bacterial small subunit ribosomal RNA", at positions 524 to 776 of the family's 1533-position model. The record is from RNAcentral.